This 253-nucleotide ribosomal RNA is filed under the name uncultured bacterium. RNAcentral describes it as "partial 16S ribosomal RNA". It matches the Rfam family "Bacterial small subunit ribosomal RNA", at positions 524 to 776 of the family's 1533-position model. The record is from RNAcentral.
GACGUAGGUGGCGAACGUUAUCCGGAAUUAUUGGGCGUAAAGGGUGCGUAGAUGGCCUGAUAAGUUAACAGUGGUAAAUCGAGGCUCAACCUCGUGGAAACUGAUAAUACUGUCUGGCUCGAGUACAGAAGAGGUUAACGGAAUUCCAUGUGGAGCGGUAAAAUGCAUAGAUAUAUGGAAGAACACCGAUGGCGAAGGCAGGUCUCUGGGCUGACACUGGCGCUCAUGCACGAAAGCGUGGGGAGCAAACAGG